GUCACGCUGUAAACGAUGUCGAUUUGGAGGUUGUUCCCUUGAGGAGUGGCUUCCGGAGCUAACGCGUUAAAUCGACCGCUGGGGAGUACGGCCGCAAGGUUAAAACUCAAAUGAAUUGACGGGGGCCCGCACAAGCGGUGGAGCAUGUGGUUUAAUUCGAUGCAACGCGAAGAACCUUACCUACUCUUGACAUCCAGAGAAUUUAGCAGAGAUGCUUUAGUGCCUUCGGGAACUCUGAGACAGGUGCUGCAUGGCUGUCGUCAGCUCGUGUUGUGAAAUGUUGGGUUAAGUCCCGCAACGAGCGCAACCCUUAUCCUUUGUUGCCAGCACAUUAUGGUGGGAACUCAAAGGAGACUGCCGGUGAUAAACCGGAGGAAGGUGGGGAUGACGUCAAGUCAUCAUGGCCCUUACGAGUAGGGCUACACACGUGCUACAAUGGCGUAUACAAAGAGAAGCGACCUCGCGAGAGCAAGCGGAACUCAUAAAGUACGUCGUAGUCCGGAUUGGAGUCUGCAACUCGACUCCAUGAAGUCGGAAUCGCUAGUAAUCGUAGAUCAGAAUGCUACGGUGAAUACGUUCCCGGGCCUUGUACACACCGCCCGUCACACCAUGGGAGUGGGUUGCAAAAGAAGUAGGUAGCUUAACCUUCGGGAGGGCGCUUACCACUUUGUGAUUCAUGACUGGGGUGAAGUCGUAACAAGGUAACCA
RNAcentral lists this ribosomal RNA (708 nucleotides) under uncultured Enterobacteriaceae bacterium. Its description in RNAcentral is "bacterial SSU rRNA". It matches the Rfam family "Bacterial small subunit ribosomal RNA", at positions 794 to 1502 of the family's 1533-position model. Lineage: Bacteria; Pseudomonadati; Pseudomonadota; Gammaproteobacteria; Enterobacterales; Enterobacteriaceae. RNAcentral also lists the same sequence under 1 other name. The record is from RNAcentral.